CGAGUCGGCCAGGCGGUCGCGUCGGCGUCCCUGAAGGGGGCGUCGCCGAGGAACGUCCGGACUCCGCAGAGCAGGGUGGUUGUUAACGGCAACCCGGGGCGACCCGCGGGACAGUGCCACAGAGAACAGACCGCCGGCCCCGCAAGGGCGCCGGUAAGGGUGAAACGGUGAGGUAAGAGCUCACCAGCACCCCGGGUGACCGGGGUGGCUAGGUAAACCCCACCCGGAGCAAGGCCAAGUAAGGCCGCUCACCGCGAGGCGAGCGGCCGGCGCAGGCGUUCGAGGGCUGCUCGCCCGAGCCUGCGGGUAGGCCGCAAGAGCCGAGCCGGCAACGGCCGGCCGAGAUGGAUGACCGCCCACGGCGACGAAAGUCGCCGGGACAGAAUCCGGCGUACAGGCCGACUCGUCCG
RNAcentral lists this RNase P RNA (410 nucleotides) under Paractinoplanes brasiliensis. RNAcentral describes it as "Actinoplanes brasiliensis Bacterial RNase P class A". It matches the Rfam family "Bacterial RNase P class A". From Rfam's summary of the family: Ribonuclease P (RNase P) is a ubiquitous endoribonuclease, found in archaea, bacteria and eukarya as well as chloroplasts and mitochondria. Its best characterised activity is the generation of mature 5'-ends of tRNAs by cleaving the 5'-leader elements of precursor-tRNAs. The record is from RNAcentral. Lineage: Bacteria; Bacillati; Actinomycetota; Actinomycetes; Micromonosporales; Micromonosporaceae.